AUUGAACGCUGGCGGCAUGCUUUACACAUGCAAGUCGAACGGCAGCGGGGAGGAGCUUGCUUCUCUGCCGGCGAGUGGCGAACGGGUGAGUAAUACAUCGGAACGUUUCGAGAAGAGGGGGAUAACCACCCGAAAGGGUGGCUAAUACCGCAUAAAUUCUGAGGAAGAAAGCUGGGGACCUAGGAAUAGGCCUAGCGCUUUUUGAGCGGCCGAUGUCGGAUUAGCUAGUUGGUGAGGUAAAGGCUCACCAAGGCGAAGAUCUGUAGCGGGUCUGAGAGGAUGAUCCGCCACACUGGGACUGAGACACGGCCCAGACUCCUACGGGAGGCAGCAGUGGGGAAUUUUGGACAAUGGGGGCAACCCUGAUCCAGCCAUGCCGCGUGUAUGAAGAAGGCCUUAGGGUUGUAAAGUACUUUUGUUAGGGAAGAAAAGUCAGCUGUGAAUAAUGGCUGAUACUGACGGUACCUAAAGAAUAAGCACCGGCUAACUACGUG
This 494-nucleotide ribosomal RNA is filed under the name uncultured bacterium. Its description in RNAcentral is "partial 16S ribosomal RNA". It matches the Rfam family "Bacterial small subunit ribosomal RNA", at positions 30 to 507 of the family's 1533-position model. The record is from RNAcentral.